Molecule: long non-coding RNA, 1321 nt
Organism: Physeter macrocephalus (sperm whale)
Lineage: Eukaryota; Metazoa; Chordata; Mammalia; Artiodactyla; Physeteridae
Exons: 3
Source: RefSeq, a predicted model, not a curated record
UUGUUUCCAGUUUUUCUCUGUAAUGAGCAGCAUGCACUGAAAAGAAAAAAAAAAACCCUAUGACUCCACUGAUGAAUCUAUUUCCUUCCGAGAAAUUCUCAGACACGGAAUUGCUGGGCCAGAAGGACGCACAUUUCCAGGACUUGGAUAGGCAUUGCCAGAUUGCCCUCCUGAGAGGUCGUACCUAACUCCACCCACCACGGUGGAGUCAGCGUUUCUCUCUCCCCGCUGACACCUGCAGGUGGAGAUCCACAGGCUUAGAACUCACUCCAGCUGUCAGUCCUGCAGCCGGACCCCUGAGGGCUGCAGGAAUCAAGUUCCUCCCCUUCCAUGCCCCACCCCAAAGCGCCUGAGAGAGCCCGUCUGCCAGGCAAGGCCAGGGUCCCGAUGCCACCCUGUGCGGCCACCCGCAGACCCUGACCUCCUCCCCUUCCACGCAGGUGCCUGAUGUCUCUCCUUGAGGCCUGUAGCCCACACCUCAUGACGGGACAGCGAGCUUCUGAGUUAUCGGCAGCCUUAUUUCCCCCUACAGCUCCUACGGAGUUAACAGAUGUACGCACGUCUGAGGCAGUCAUGCGGCAAGAGACUUUGGGGCCAAUCCUUCCCGUUUUGACAGUGUGUAAUCGAGGUGAAGCCAUAAAUUUUAUAAACAAGAAUAAACGACCCUCAGCAACAUAUGUCUGCUCGACCCUUCCAAGAUGAAGAAGCAAGUCCAAGGCAGAUGGAACGACUUGCCCAGAGUCGUGAUGCUAGGAAGUAACAGAGCUGGUCUUGGACCCAAGUCUGCCUGAAGCUGAGGCCCAUGCCGAGCGUUCGACUGCUGCCCGCACUCCAGUGCUCCUCACACCACAAGCCUGGGGCUCCGCAGAGCCAGAAGUGAGGCCGCUGGAGCAGGCAGCCCUGUGCGCGGAUUCACUCCUGAAGGAGAGGAUGCACAGAGCCUUCAUCAGAAGUUUGUGAAUCCGUGGAGUGGGAGAGCACCGGGACACCCCCAGAGUUCCUGGGUGUCCCCCAACCUUCCAAAUCCUGGUGUCCCCAACCAGCUCAUCUCCUGCCACUGCUUGCGUCCAAGCACUGUCUUCCACGAUGGACUCCGGAGAAGGAAAGUGACAGGUCGAGGCAAAUGAACACUGCACCCUGGCUGGGCUGCAAAGGGGGCCUCAGUCCUCUCCCUAAGCAAGGUGGGACCAGCCUGGGUCCAGUAUCGCCAGUGGGCCUGGUCUGAAGGGAGGGGUGAGCCACAAAUCCUCCCAAGGCACUGAUUUAUGUAGCAUUCAUGUGGAAUUUAUUACACAAAGGAUCUUAUUCAAUUAAACUUGAA